Molecule: ribosomal RNA, 422 nt
Filed under: uncultured bacterium
Lineage: Bacteria
Description: bacterial SSU rRNA
Rfam family: Bacterial small subunit ribosomal RNA
Source: RNAcentral
UGAGGAAUAUUGGUCAAUGGGGGCAACCCUGAACCAGCCAAGUCGCGUGAAGGAUGAAGGUCUUAUGGAUUGUAAACUUCUUUUACACGGGAAUAAAGUGGGGGACGUGUCCCCCUUUGCAUGUACCGUGUGAAUAAGGAUCGGCUAACUCCGUGCCAGCAGCCGCGGUAAUACGGAGGAUCCGAGCGUUAUCCGGAUUUAUUGGGUUUAAAGGGUGCGCAGGCGGGAUGUUAAGUCGGCGGUGAAAUUUUGCAGCUCAACUGUAAAAGUGCCUUCGAUACUGGCCUCCUUGAGUGUGGAUGAAGUAGGCGGAAUUUGUGGUGUAGCGGUGAAAUGCUUAGAUAUCACGAGGAACUCCGAUUGCGCAGGCAGCUUACUAAGCCACAACUGACGCUCAUGCACGAAGGCGUGGGGAUCAAACA